CGCGUAGGCGGUUUUGUAAGUCGGAUGUGAAAUCCCCGGGCUUAACCUGGGAACUGCAUUCGAUACUGCAUAACUAGAGUAUGGUAGAGGGAAGUGGAAUUCUGGGUGUAGCGGUGAAAUGCGUAGAUAUCCGGAGGAACACCGGUGGCGAAGGCGACUUCCUGGGCCAAUACUGACGCUGAGGUGCGAAAGCGUGGGGAGCAAACA
Molecule: ribosomal RNA, 207 nt
Filed under: uncultured bacterium
Lineage: Bacteria
Description: partial 16S ribosomal RNA
Rfam family: Bacterial small subunit ribosomal RNA
Source: RNAcentral